GAUGAACGCUGGCGGCGUGCCUAAUACAUGCAAGUCGAGCGAACAGACGAGGAGCUUGCUCCUCUGACGUUAGCGGCGGACGGGUGAGUAACACGUGGAUAACCUACCUAUAAGACUGGGAUAACUUCGGGAAACCGGAGCUAAUACCGGAUAAUAUAUUGAACCGCAUGGUUCAAUAGUGAAAGACGGUUUUGCUGUCACUUAUAGAUGGAUCCGCGCCGCAUUAGCUAGUUGGUAAGGUAACGGCUUACCAAGGCAACGAUGUGUAGCCGACCUGAGAGGGUGAUCGGCCACACUGGAACUGAGACACGGUCCAGACUCCUACGGGAGGCAGCAGUAGGGAAUCUUCCGCAAUGGGCGAAAGCCUGACGGAGCAACGCCGGGUGGGUGAUGAAGGGCUUCGGAUCGUAAAACGCUGUUAUUAGGGAAGAAAAAAUGUGUAAGUAACUAUGCACGUUUGGACGGUACCUAAUCAGAAAGCCACGGCUAACUACGU
RNAcentral lists this ribosomal RNA (496 nucleotides) under uncultured bacterium. RNAcentral's name for it is "partial 16S ribosomal RNA". It matches the Rfam family "Bacterial small subunit ribosomal RNA", at positions 28 to 506 of the family's 1533-position model. The record is from RNAcentral.